This is a non-coding RNA of Macaca mulatta (Rhesus monkey), 3671 nucleotides long. NCBI's taxonomy places the organism in Eukaryota, Metazoa, Chordata, Mammalia, Primates, Cercopithecidae. The record is from RefSeq and is a predicted model, not a curated record.
CCACGCACUCCAGCCUGGGCGACAGAUCGAGACUCCGUCUCCCCACCUCCCCAAAAAAGAGAAAAAAAAAAAAACACUGAGUGUUGAGCUCCGGCGUUGCUUGGUUUCAAAACCCAUUCCUGUAACCUCGUUUAUUUAUUCACAGCCUCGUUUUCUUAAACUUAACAGCAUGCUACUUCCCCAGGUUUAACCACCAUUUGUUUUAUUCAUUUAUUUACCCAAUAGGUAGAUAUUGAGUCCUUACUAUGUCAGCUAAUAAAACCCACCACGUGCUAUGCAGUAGAUUAAAAAACGAGGAUGUACUGGCAAAUAAGGGCAGACAGGAUCUAUUCUAGAUCCAGGAGCCCUCUAGGCCACGCUAUUCCGAAACACACACGAAAACUGCUCUGAACGCAUACCACCAGUAAAACGAUUCCAUGGCCAUCGGUAACAAGGAGUCGAGAUCAGGAGGUCGCUGGCCGCGCAGAUGCGUCGCUCACCACCGGCCGGCCGCCAGACCCUCGGCUUCCGAUCCAGAAACCGUAUUUUGUUCCUACACCCAGACCGCAAGAAGCCUCAGCCCUCGGGGACAGACCAAAGGCCAGGGUUGUACCUGGCUCAGAACCAGGCUCCAAGCGGCACGGGACGCUCCUUCUGCACUCUGAUCGCGUGAGUGCAAUUGGAGAUCCUGGACUCAAGAUGUUUUCAGUAGGAACGAUUCCAGCCAGCGCUAACACCGGCCGGUCUGCAGCGUGGACGCCAAAACAGGCACCACGUGGUUCUGGCGCCGGGGCGGGGCCAGAGACGCCGGAAGUGGCCGCGCGCUCCACGGGCCCACCGGGCGGCGCGCUUUCAGACCAUGGCGACCCAGACGAAGCGCCCACGGGUGAGUGGCGGGUGCGGGGUCCAGCCUUCUCCUUCGCGCCUCACCCCUCCUCCGCCCGCAGGGCCAUGCGCCUGCGCCCCCUCCGCUCCCUCCCGCGGGUCCCGCGCCCCUCUCCGCUCGUCCCCACCUCCACCCAAAGCCCGUUCUGCGCGCGCGCGUCGCGGUCUCCUGCCGUUCCCAGCGGGCUCUCUGGGGCCGGGCCUGGUCACUGCGCGCACUUAUCUCAGGUGGCGGGGCCUGUGGACGGCGGCGACCCGGAUCCUGUGGUCGGUUUCCUGAACUGGUGCCGGCGGGUGGGGCUGGAGCUGAGUCCCAAGGUGGCGGUCAGCCGGCAGGGCACGGUGGCCGGCUACGGCAUGGUGGCCCGGGAGAGCGUGCAGGCCGGAGAGCUGCUGUUCGUGGUACCGCGGGCCGCGCUCCUGUCGCAGUACACCUGCUCCAUUGGCGGCCUGCUGGAGCGAGAGCGAGGCGCGCUGCAGAGCCAGUCGGGCUGGGUGCCACUGCUGCUGGCGCUCCUCCACGAGCUGCAGGCCCCGGCCUCACGCUGGAGGCCGUACUUUGCGCUCUGGCCCGAGCUGGGCCGCUUGGAGCACCCGAUGUUCUGGCCAGAGGAGCAGCGCCGGUGCCUGCUGCAGGGCACAGGCGUACCUGAGGCCGUGGAGAAGGAUUUGGCCAACAUCCGCAGCGAGUACCACUCCAUCGUGCUGCCCUUCAUGGAAGCCCACCCCGAUCUCUUCAGCCUCAGGGUUCGCUCCCUAGAACUCUACCAUCAGCUCGUGGCCCUUGUGAUGGCCUAUAGCUUUCAGGAACCACUGGAAGAGGAGGAGGAUGAAAAGGAGCCCAACUCCCCAGUGAUGGUGCCUGCUGCAGACAUACUAAACCACUUAGCCAAUCACAAUGCCAAUUUAGAAUAUUCUGCGGGAUGAGGACAUUCACAGGCCAGAGGUCUAAGAUGAUCCUAGAACUGGGUAUAAAGCUGUGUUUUUACCAGCUCUGUUCUAUACGGAAAGUUGCCUGAAAAGAUGACACAUUUAUAGGAUCGAAAAUUAGUUAAGUAUGGUUAUUUCUUAAUCCUUGCCUCCAUUUUCCUUUCCCACUUUGAUAUGCGAAAGUUUCAUUCCCCCGCCCCACCCCGCGCCCAGAAGGAGUCUCGCUGUGUCACCCAGGCUGGAGUGCAGUGGCGUGAUCUCAGCUCACUACAACUUCCGCCUCCCGGGUUCAAGCAAUUCUCCCUGCUUCAACCUCCCAAGUAGCUGGGAUUACAGGCUCCCGCCACCAUGCCCGGCUAAUUUUUGUAUUUUUUAGUAGUGACAGUGUUUCGCCAUGUUGGCCAGGCUGGUCUUGGAACUCCUGACCUCAGGUGAUCCACCCACCUUGGCCUCCCAAAGUGCUGGGAUUACAGGUGUGAGCCACCGCACCCGGCCAAAAAUUUCAUUUUUAAAGCUAGCAACUUUUUAAGUGCUGAAGAGGACUGUGCAGAAAUCCACCCACUUAAACAUGAAGCUGGCCUUUGAAAGUUAGCCUAACCCUUUUUUGUUUCACAGUUCAGGGUCUAACAGGAACUAAAGGUAGAACUUUGGUAGCUAACAGCAUCAGUUCCAUGGCUGAACUACACCUGCUAAAGGCUCUUAAGUGGAAGUAAUCUUCAUGGGGCUGGCCCGUGAAAGGCAUGGCCCCAGCUUCUCCCUUUCACCUCAGAAUUGUCUUCGGAUGGUAGCCACUCAGCCCAUUCCUAAAGGCCAUGAGAUUUUCAACACUUAUGGGCAAAUGGCUAACUGGCAACUGAUUCAUAUGUACGGUUUUGUUGAACCAUAUCCUGACAACACAGAUGACACAGCUGACAUUCAGAUGGUGACAGUUCGUGAGGCAGCAUUACAGGGAACAAAAACUGAAGCUGAAAGGCUCCUAGCGUAUGAGCGCUGGGAUUUCCUAUGCAAACUGGAGAUGGUAGGGGAAGAAGGCGCCUUUGUGAUAGGGAGGGAGGAGGUGCUAACUGAAGAGGAGCUGAUCACCACACUAAAGGUACUGUGCAUGCCUGCUGAGGAGUUCAGAGAGCUUAAAGACCAGGAUGGAGGGGGAGAUAAUAAAAGGGAAGAGGGCAGCCUGACGAUCACAAAUAUUCCCAAGCUCAAAGCAUCGUGGAGACAGCUGCUACAAAACAGUGUUCUAUUGACCUUACAGACCUAUGCCACAGACUUAAAAACUGACCAAGAUUUACUCAGUAAUAAGGAAGUCUAUGCCCAACUCAGCUGGAGGGAACAGCAAGCCUUACAGGUUCGCUAUGGUCAGAAGAUGAUCUUACAUCAGUUGUUGGAACUGACACAAGUUGGCAGUUUCCCUGUUCCCUGAAGGAACAGCAAUAAGAACUUUUAUUCUAAGCUAGUACUCAUUGAUGUUUGAAAAAGGGAAAAUUUGGAUCUUUUUCUUAUUAAACACCAAGAGGAAAAGUAGCAAACGUGGUGUGCUAGGAUAAACUGAGGUAAGGGUGAUGUGUUUUAGGAUUGAGAACAGCAGACUUGGGAAUCACUGCUAAUUGUUAAAGCAUGUUACAGCUAUUUUGUUCUGUUUUAACCAAAGCCAGUGGAAAUACGGUAGUAAUAGGUCAUCCAGUUGUGUUUCAGCAUUUCAUAAUAGACUUUGGAGGUAGACCCUGGUUUAAAUCUAAGUCUAGUUUGAGGAAAUCACUUAACCUUUAUUUAAAAGACUGGAUUUAAUAAGCUGUGUAACUGGCACUCAAUGAUCAGUUACCCGAAGUUCACUCUAGAUGGCACAAACCACCCCUCAGGGAAUAAAUCCUAAGACAUCA